Molecule: ribosomal RNA, 435 nt
Filed under: uncultured bacterium
Lineage: Bacteria
Description: partial 16S ribosomal RNA
Rfam family: Bacterial small subunit ribosomal RNA
Source: RNAcentral
AGCGAACGCUGGCGGCAGGCUUAACACAUGCAAGUCGAACGGGCAUCUUCGGAUGUCAGUGGCAGACGGGUGAGUAACACGUGGGAACGUACCCUUCGGUUCGGAAUAACUCAGGGAAACUUGAGCUAAUACCGGAUACGCCCUUUUGGGGAAAGGUUUAAUGCCGAAGGAUCGGCCCGCGUUUGCUUUGCUUGUUGGUGGGGUAACGGCCUACCAAGGCGACGAUCAGUAGCUGGUCUGAGAGGAUGAUCAGCCACACUGGGACUGGGACACGGCCCAGACUCCUACGGGAGGCAGGAGUUGGGAAUAUUGGACAAUGGGCGCAAGCCUGAACCAGCCAUGCCGCGGGAGUGAAGAAGGCCUUAGGGUUGUAAAGCUCUUUUGUCCGUGACGAUAAUGACGAUACCGUAAGAAUAAGCCCCGGCUGACUUCGUG